GAAGAUAUAGCUCAAGUGGUAGAGCACGUGCUUAGCAUGCACAAGGUCCUGGGUUUAAUUCCCAGUACCUCCA
This 73-nucleotide transfer RNA is filed under the name Camelus dromedarius (Arabian camel). It matches the Rfam family "tRNA". From Rfam's summary of the family: Transfer RNA (tRNA) molecules are approximately 80 nucleotides in length. Their secondary structure includes four short double-helical elements and three loops (D, anti-codon, and T loops). Further hydrogen bonds mediate the characteristic L-shaped molecular structure. tRNAs have two regions of fundamental functional importance: the anti-codon, which is responsible for specific mRNA codon recognition, and the 3' end, to which the tRNAs corresponding amino acid is attached (by aminoacyl-tRNA synthetases). tRNAs cope with the degeneracy of the genetic code in two manners: having more than one tRNA (with a specific anti-codon) for a particular amino acid; and 'wobble' base-pairing, i.e. permitting non-standard base-pairing at the 3rd anti-codon position. The record is from Rfam by way of RNAcentral. Lineage: Eukaryota; Metazoa; Chordata; Mammalia; Artiodactyla; Camelidae. RNAcentral also lists the same sequence under 1 other name.